ACCUGUAACUAAAAGCUGUGGGAGCAGCUGCUGCUCUGCUGGUGGGCUGUGUCUGUGUGAGGAGCUGAGGAUACCCCUAGACCCUGUGAGUGGAAUUUUCAUUUCACUGGUGUUGUAUGAAUUUGCCCUAAAUGUGGCUGUGGGUCUUUUGGAAAAGGAUUAGGUUCUCUGGUAACCAGAACUGUCUAUUUACUGCCCUAAAGACUGAGGCGCAAGCUGCUGCUGAAAGACACACAGGGAAUCUCAAAGAACUGUCACCUUGGAGCACCCUUGAAUGCUGCACUCUGCACCCCCAAUCUGGAUGCAUUAGGAGAGACUCAAUGGCACUUUUCUUUUACUUUGUAUCAAUGGGUGCAAAACGGCUUGAUUAAAAUUCUGCAAUGGCUGCAGAGAGGAGACUGAAAUUUUACAAGGUAGUGAAGAUAACACUCAGCACAGUGGGAGUUUCAACAAGGAGUUUAAAUAGACUGGGGGAGUGGGGUAUCAAAAUUCAAAACCAAAGAAUUCUGGGAAGCUGAGUGAUAAUAAAUGGUAAACCUGUGUUAGAAAAUACACACAAGUUGUGCUACUACCAACCUUGCCAGUUGGAGUAAGGCUCUAGUUACCCUAUUUAUCCAAAAUGCUUACACUAAUGUUGUUGAUCUGGAAUAUACCCCAAGUAUACAUUGUGUAUGGACACAGAGCAGCAAUGGUCUAUUGUUUUUGGUAAAACUGUGUUAAAAAGUGUUAAUUGAAUGGUAAUUUGUCAUUUCCUGCAAAGGUUUACUUAACCUGUUUGUAGCCAUUUUGUGACUUGCAGUCACUUUUUUAUGUAUUGUAUGCUUUUUUUGACACAUUUACAAAUAGUUUGCUCUUUUUCCUUUUUUUUUUCCUGGGGUGCAGGUACAUAACUGUUAAAUUAUACAUUUGGUGCUGCAAUGUGCAUAAUGCACAUAAUAUUCAGCAACUGUAAUGUUUUCUCAUGCUUAGCUUCUUGUCAUUUUGGAACAUAAUAUUGUGCUUUAUACAGUAUAUAAUUAUUAUAUGCAGCACUGAACUUCUUUUUAAGGUGCAAACAAUCUCCUCCUUUAGAAGCAUAUAAUGCCUGAGGCACAGGGACAUUUCAUGACUUAUCUGCUUUCUAAAUAUGUGCAGACAUGUAAGGAUUUCAUUAUCUAUAUUGCUUAAACACAAACUGAUAUGAAUUAAAGUUUUUAUAUUUAAAAUUACAUUUGCUUUUGGUUU
Molecule: long non-coding RNA, 1224 nt
Organism: Xenopus laevis (African clawed frog)
Lineage: Eukaryota; Metazoa; Chordata; Amphibia; Anura; Pipidae
Exons: 3
Source: RefSeq, a predicted model, not a curated record